GUGAUGGAUCCCCCCCCCCCCGUUUCUUGCUGCAGGGUUGUUGUUUUUCUAAAUCCAAUCCCAUUCAUUGGUAUUUUGUUAUUUUAUAGUGUAUUUAUGACCACAUACCCAGUGUUGUUUUGGAAUUCUAAGAAACAGAUAAAGCCAGUGGUUAUAAGCAGUGCAGUUUUGAAAGGUUCCCUCUGGCAUCUUGCUUCAUAAUGGCAUCUAGCUGUAUCCAAAUAUCGAAAACCUACUCCUUGAUAUCAGGAACCAUCAUGCAAAAUUUGGUUGCAAUAUCUUAAGACCCAGAUGCAUAGUAAACAAAAAACUUUUCAAAAUACAUACCAUUUCUUUUUUAUUAAUGUUCAUUGCUUUGGGAGUAUUUAGACUGAAAAGUAUUAUAUCAAUAAAUUAAAAUAACUUCAAAUCUAUUUCUUUAUCAGUAAGCAUAUAUACCAUGCAGAUACACUUCUGAUGUGUGUACAAACUGUGACAAACCUGAGCUCUUUCAUGUUUUACUACUACUACUAUGGUAAAGAUUAUUGGCAAGAUAAAUACAUCUUAAGCAUUCUCAGAUGCUGUAUGAAUGGCCUCAAGCCUCAAUCACUAUGUCUUUGAAGCUGUUCUUUACCUAACAGUAACCCCAUUUUAUGGCUACCCCAACAUGAGCAACACCUGGUUCUCUUUCAUACCAUUUCUGGUUCCCCUCUCCGCACCCCCUAAAAAGACUUGUUAGUAGAGGUGCCCAAGAGCUCUACUUUUCUUUCUCAAAGGAUGAAUAACGCAAACACUUAACUUUUCAGACAUCGCAGUACCAAGUUAGGAAUCCCUUCCCAGCUAUUAAAAUAUGAGCCAAAGACUCUUCGUGGUUCCUUAGUGAGUCAGGCAACAUUUUCUUUGAGGACUUUCAUGUUGCAUUGCUCCCAAGUGCCAGACUUCAUUUAUAUGGUCCUGAAUGACUGCUUGGAACAUUUUUGUUUCUCUUGGCAAUUUUCCUCAUGACAGAAUAUGAUAUUCCUCUUUCUAUGUUUGUAACCAGCCUAGGGAAAUUUUAAUGGGGCUCGGUAAUAAAGAUUUAGAUUGGGACACCCUCCAUCAGCCCAGCCAGCAUAGAAAGUAAUCAAAAAUGAAGGGAGUGUUGUUGUUUAGUCGUGCCCGACUCUUCAUGACCCCAUGGACCAGAGCACGCCAGGCAUUCCUGUCUUCCACUGCCUCCAGCAGUUUGGUCAAACUCAUGUUGGUAGUUUUGAGAACACUGUCCCACCAUCUUGUCCUCUGUCAUUGCCUUCUCCUUGUGCCCUCAAUCUUUCCUAACAUCAGGGUCUUUUCCAGGGAGUCUUCUCUUCUCAUGAGGUGGCCAAAGUAUUGGAGCCUCAGCUUCAGUGAGCACUCAGGGCUGAUUUCCUUCAGAAUGGAUAGGUUUGAUCUUCUUGCAGUCCAUGGGACUCUCAAGAGUCUCCUCCAGCACCAUAAUUCAAAAGCAUCAAUUCUUCGGCAAUCAGCCUUCUUUAUGAUGGGAGUAGUCCAACAAAAUAGGCAGGGCACAUUGGCUACUUCUGCAUUUCUCCUAUUUGUCUGCUGUUAGUAUGUGAUCUGUUCCCCAACUAUUAUCAAUAAAAGGUGCAUGAGGAAUGGUUGAGGAAUUGGGUAUGUUUAGGCUGGUAAAGAGAAGACUGAGAGGAGAUAUAAUAGGCAUCUUCAAAUAUCUAAAAGGCUGUCACAUGGAAGCUUGUUUUCUCUGCUCUGGAGGCCAGGAUCCAAACCAAUGGAUUCAAGGUAAAAGAAAGGUGAUUCCAAUUACACAUCAGAAGGAAGAACUUUCUGACAGUAAGAGCUCUUCAACGAUAGAACAGACUCCCACACUAAGUGGUGGGUUCUCCUUCCUUGGAGGCUUUUAAGCAGAGGUUGGAUGUCCAUCUAUCACAUAUGAUCUAGUCGAGUCCUGUAUUGCAGAGCAUUGGACUAGAUGACUCUCAGGGUUCCUUCCAACUCUACAGUUCUAGGAUUCCAAGCAGGAGCUCAGCCCAACUGCCCAUUCACUGUCAGCUGCCAAAUGCUAAAAAUAUUCAGAGGCAGGACAAACUGGAGGGUGUUAUAGACAAGGCAGAGAGGGAUAAAUCUUACAAUGUUAUCUCAGACCCCAAACUCACAAGAUGGAUGUAGAACCUUUGGAGAUUAAAAGGCAAGAGUAAGCUGGUCUUCCAUAGACCAUAUGUCAAGGCAGCCUUGUUUUGGAAAGCUUUUAAUGUCUCAUGUUUUGUUUUAUUCCUUUAUAGUUUGUUGGAAGCUGCCUAUAGUGGUUGGGGUAAAAAUAAAUUUUCAUCAUCUUGAUAGACACACCUGAGAGCCUCUAAUGCCAAGAUCUGUGCUCUUAGGUGCAGCUCUAAGAUACUGCCCAGCUUAAGGCUCCUGAUUAUAUAAUUAACAUAGAAGAAGAAGUGUUUGGAUUUGAUAUCUCACUUUAUCACUACCCUGAGGAGUCUUAAAGCAGCUCACAAUCUCAUUUCCCUUCCUCCCCCCACAACAAACACUCUGUGAGGUGAGUGAGGCUGAGAGACUUCAGAGAACUGUGACUAGCCCAGGGUCACCCAGCAGCUGCAUGUGGAGGAGCGGGGAAGCGAACCCUGUUCACCAGAUUACGAGUCCACCGCUCUUAACCACUACACCACACUGGCUCUCAGGAGGACUGAGAACUUAUAUUUUUUUACUUAUAAAGUCAAAUAAAUCCACAAAUAAAUGCAGAGAUCUGGAUGUGCCAGGGUGCAGAGAUGUGGAUCUCCUAGGGUUUCAGGUGCUGACGCAGGUUCAGUUUCCUUGGAAUGAAGGACAGCGGAGACCGUGGUGUCUUCAGGAGGCAUGGUUUGAUUUGCACAAGUACAACCCGAGCAGAGGAUCCACGACCCAACAGAUCUUGCUUCUCCAUUAAGUCCUCCUUUUAUUCUGUUGCAGUGCCAGAGGAAGGGGGGGCGAAGGUAAGAGAUUGGGGGCUGGGACACAUGAUUAAGCGGUGUACAAAUUAACCCAACAAUGCUUUGCGGCAGCCGUAUCAGCAUUUCAACGAGCCAGUUGGAUAUCGGGGACUCUGACAUUGUGUACUGGAGGACCCCAAGCUGGAAGAAAAUCCUUGCUCCCCAGAGAGAUGCCAGCUCAGACAGCCCCCUGAGCUUCAACUAUGAAGCCUACGAGAGCGACUCCGACUGUAGCUUCCUUGGGCAGAGACCUGCCUGCAUGGCUGAUGCCACACAUUCUCACCCCUCCUCCCAGCGCAACUGACAGAGCUUCCCCCUCUUCCUCCGCAGUUUCCCAAAAUUGUAUCGGAGAGCUCGCUAACUUCCCACGAAGCUGGAGAAACUGAUAGUUUUUGGGACUCCCCUAAGGAGGCAGGUGGUGGACAGAGCAAGACCACUUUGUCGAGACCCCGAGACCGCGUCUGGAUUUACUCAGUCCUGACUGGGUUCCAAAUAUGUCCCCAUUUAGCUCCCUCAGCAGCCUUUCCUCCCUGUCCUCUGUGUCCUCCCUCAAUUUGCUUUGGGACUCACUGAAUGAGGUGCCAAAAAUGACCCCGUCCAGCUCCAUCAGCUCCCUGUCCUCCCUGGAUUCAUUUUGGGACUCAUUGAUGAGGUAGGUAGCAGACAGAAGGGAAGCCCUGCUGAGCUCCACAAGGGCAACCCUGAGGCUGGGGAAGAGGAGGAGGAGAAGCCAGCUGGCCGGCCAGGCCACCUUCUGGACCGGUUGUGAGCAAGGGGGCAGACAGGCAUGGGGCUGCUAAGGGCAGGCUGUGCUUGCUGGCGCUCUCCUCAUGGACCAGCCCCCCAUGGCGCCAGGGCUGUAGGGCUUCCCUGGCUAGUGACUCAAUGUGGGCAGGAGUGUCUGGCUUCUGAGCUCCUGUCUCAUUCUGGGCUGCUCUCUUUCUCCUUUCUCCCCACCACCACUGCCACCACCUCUGGGGUCCUGUCUCUGCCAGAAGUCAGCCUCUGAAUCCUUUGAAAAAGUGGCUGUCUCAUUUUGGGCUGCUCUCUUUCUGCUCUCUCCCCACUACCACUGUACCUCUGGGCUGGUUCCUCCAUCCUGUCUGGGGCAACAGUCAUCCUCUGAGGACGAAAUAUCCCAUGACAAAGUGACAGAGGAGGAGGGAAGCCCAGGCAUGGAAGCCAGAGUGGCCAAAAGAGAUCCAAACAGAAGAGUGCAAUUGGGAGCAGAGGAUCUGUGCAAACCUUUCCCUUUAUUUUUUUCCACUUAGAAAACUGGCUGUGAGGCUGUGAAGAUAAAGAUCCUAUGGGUAGAAAAGCAGCUAGAGACCUUGCUUUUGAGCAGAAAGAGGUGUGUGUGUGUGUGUGUUUUAAUGGAAGCAGUUCCCCGCUCCCCCAUGUAAACUCUAGAGAGGUGGAUUCAUUGGCACAUUUGAUGUCUGACAGGAAUUGCCUACAAUCAGGACACAUUACAAGUUGAAAACAGUUCUGUUGCUUCAGCAGCACCACCAGUGGAAGUGAAAUUGACUGCUUUCUGACAAAGGAUAGCAAAACUCCAGCACUAUUCCCCAUCUUCAAUGAAGCCUGCCACAGUGAGACUAUUUUGUUUGAAGGGAAUGCCUACAGUACCUUUCAUAUGUCUAUAGCACUUUCUGCAGAUUAAUCACUGAAUGGCUUAAGAGUUGAGGAAACAGUGAUGAGCAAGAAUAUUGGAACCCCAUUCAUUUGUCUGUGACAUAUCAAGUUAGAAACCAGAUACCCUCGGUCUUACUUUUUCUUGGAGGGGGAAUGGGAAGAAGAGUGGACUGGUCCCCAGGGUGAAUUUCUGGCCUACAACUUCCAUCACACCAAGCCAGCACAGCUGAUGGUCAGGGAUAAUGGGAGCUGCAUCUAAAGGGACACAGGCUGCCCAUCACUGUAUUGUUCUUUCCAUGAGUCUCUGGUCAGGAAAACCAUGCGGUUAAUAGUUGAAUAUUAGGACUGCUGGCUUUUCAGUCCCAGCUGGGCAGGCUCCUACUCCCUCUGUUAUGAGGGCUAAGAGGCAGCCACUAUAUGAGUUUUGGGAAGACUGCUUGAAAGCCUUGGAAGGCAGCCCACAACAUGGAGUAGUUAUCAGAAUUAUACAUCUGCUCUGAGCAUGCUCAGAACUACUCUCUUGAAAGCCAGACCUCAUAAGCUUUUAGCAUGUUCUGUUCAGUGGAGAAGAAAUGAAGUUUCCUAUUUUUAGGAGCUUUUUUUGUUCUACUUAGCAUUUGUUUAGUGACCUUGCUGGGGAGCAAGCUAGCAACAGUGGACACAGUAUGAGUCUUUCUAUUUUUUAAUUAAUCACUUUGUAUUUAUUUUUGUGAAUUGGAUUGAGGAGAAAUGGGUGAGUUGUGUAUGCUGCAAGGAUUUCCCUGCAUUUACCCACAGAACACUGCAGCUUCUGCAGGGGAAUGAGGGAGGGGGAGCACAGGUUGAUUUGAGGCAUGUGCAGUCCCAGCUCAUUUCCAGAAAAAGUGUGUGAAUUUUCAUCAGCACCAGUUCUGAAGUUGUUGCUAAGCUCCCUUUCACAUAAUAGCUGUAGCCACACAAGUGCUUACAUUUUCAGCAUACCUUCUAUUCCCCUGCCUUAAGAUUUUUACAGGAACUUAAACAGUAAGCAGCAUAUUCCCUUCAAGGUUAACUGCUUUUGCUUGAAUACUGCCUCAGAUUCAUCCUCAGCUAGGCUCAUAUAAUCAUACUAACCACAUUAAAGUAGGUAUCAAAGCUCUGAUUCUUCACUGGUCUUCCUGCCACUUAACGACUCAAUGUAGGCUACUCAGAAAAGCUGCCCAGUUAAAAGUAGAUUAUUAUAUUAUAGCCCCUUUUUAGAGUAUCAGUUGAACAAGCCAUCCAAUACUAGUAUAUCGUCUAUAAAAUGACCCAAUUGGUACUUUAAAAUGAAACUUCACCCAACACCUAGUGUUGGAUGAAGGGUACUGAAGCUAUUGAAUGCAACUGACAACGAACAGAAUCAGUUUUACCGAACUAUCAGGCUGCAAGUUGAUCUAUGAAGCUACAUCACUGGAAUUUCAAUUUCCCCUUUAGCCAUCUGCUGGGGAAGUUUGAAGAACAGCACAUUUUUACUGAAAGCUUGACAUUCAUCUCUUACAGCAGAGCUACAUAUUCAGAUUAAUUACAUGAUACUUACUGUCUUACUGGAAUUGUACCACUGUAAAAUGCAGAUAGGUUGCUGUAUAAUUAAAUGCUUUCAUAUAAACUCCCUACACAAAGAAAACAGGCACAAUGGAGUGACAAGCUAGCCUUCUACAGCAGGGGUUGGCAAGGCUUUCCGGGCAUGGGCCGGAUCACUCUGUGGAGAUCCUUCAUGGGCAGGGCCGGCGCAGCGUGACACCAGAAAUCGCUUCUGCGCAUGCCCAGAUGCCCAAAAUCACACCUGCGCAGAAGUGAUUUCCGGCGUCUGGUCGUGUGCAGAAGUGAUUUCCGGGGCUGUGGAAGAGAGUCCCCGCAUCAUGCUGGUUUAGUGCAGCACACGGGGAUUUGCCGAUCAGGCGGCUUGGUUCGGGGGCAGCUUAUGGGCCAGUUAAACGGCCUUUGUGGGCUGCUUCUGGUCCAUGGGCCUUAGGUUGCCGACCCCUGUUCUACAGGAAGGGUAUAAAAAUUGCUGAGUCAUGCAGGAGAUUUGGGAUUUUUGUACCUUCAUGAAAAGAAAAGUCUGAAGAUGGCUAGUAUAACCCUGCAGUUAUUUCAUCAAGUUCACUCAUUCCCAGCUCUCCAACAUAGCUCCAUACCCAAUAGACAGAUCUCUGCUGAUGACAGAUGGUUUCAAAACAGUAAUUUGGCACUGCAAAAAGUUUCUUAUUAACAAUAUAUAUCCCCUACUUCUUGUGCUAGGUUCUCUAGUGCUAGACAUUCAACAGGGCAGCUCCACAGCAUUCAGGCACAUGGUACAUAAGCAUACACAGAAGACUGCAGCACAUGGACAAUCUUUAUUGUUAGAGGAGCACCGGUAAUCCAUUACUGACUGUAGUGGAGUCACCGCAGAGGCACAUGCUAAGGCACUUAUUGUAUAAAAAAGUUUGCAGAUUUAUUUGUGACAGCAACCAGGACUGGAGGCUCUCACAGUGGAGAGCACUAACCAUACAGUAUAGGGUAAUCUUAUUUUAAUUUGUCAUUUGCUCAUAAGUCUAAAUGCAGCAUAUACAAUAUGGUUAAGUAUACAGGUAAAUCCAGCAACCAGUGUACAGUGUAGAAAAGUAAAGAUUAUCUAUAUAACCGCAGUCCCCAUAGAAAGGCAGUGAUAAAGACCUUUAUUUUUCUUAAUUACUUAUAAACGAGAGAUACAAAGGCCUUCAAUGUAUAAUCUGUGCAGAUUAAAAUGCUUUUUUCUUUUUUCUUUAAUAUA
Molecule: long non-coding RNA, 7338 nt
Organism: Podarcis raffonei (Aeolian wall lizard)
Lineage: Eukaryota; Metazoa; Chordata; Lepidosauria; Squamata; Lacertidae
Exons: 3
Source: RefSeq, a predicted model, not a curated record